AUGAGCAACACUAUGAAUGAAGAUGUGGUACAUGUAUACAACAGAACGUCGCUCAUCUGUAAGAGACUCUACAUUUCCCCCAAUGGACUUCCAGAUCCUAACACAGAUGUUUUCUCUUUCCCUCUCUGCUCCUAUAACUUACCUCAAAUCUCUCUUUUCUCUGUCUCUCUAAACACCCACACAAAUUUUCUCCUUUAUUUUGAUGUUCAAUGUGAGCAAUAGAAGGCAGAAUUUCAAAGGAGCCAGUGAAAGAAUGAGGUAAUGCUUUUCUGUCUAAACAAUCAUCACUGCCUUUACAAACUUUGUCCAGUUAAAUCUCAAUGGCAAGGCAGGGAUUGGAGUACCUGAUUCAGCUUGUCCUUUGCUUGUGACCUAAGGGUGUAGUGAAUAUUGUGUUAUUUUUAUACACAACAGUCUACAGCAUCUCUUGGUGGAGAUGCUCCAGUCUCCACCAAGGACUGGGUGCAUCUUUUUCACAGAGUCUAGUCCCUCAGGUGCCACAGUCUUCUGUGGGUGGAAAUUCUGCCUCCUGCUCCUUUGCUCUUCCUGAUCCCCUUGGACAGCUUAAUUGAUGUAGGAGAUAUGUUGCUGAAUGACAUGGAUCACGGGACACCAAGGACUCUUACACUUGUGGAAAGACCUUGUUCACAGUUGCUUAUAAGAUUGAUAAGGUUAGGUACUAUCCUGAGUCUAUCUAGUUGUGUUCUGGGACUUCUUUAUAGCCUUAGGUUAAAGUCAUGGAGCUAGAGGUGCUAAGAAUUAUGGAACUGAGAUGCCUGUUUUGUAAAUUCCUGACUUUAAUGAGGACUUCAGUGCCCAAACCAAGUGCCACCCCUAGGAAGGUGUUCAUGAUUUAUCUAGGCAGAUACAGUGACUCUCCUUCAUGCUUUGUGCAUCUAUAAUAACACAUAGGCUUACAGAACCAUUUGUUUAUAGAAUCAUGGUCUCUGCCACAGAAGAAACAUANNNNNNNNNNNNNNNNNNNNNNNNNNNNNNNNNNNNNNNGCACUGUUAAUGUUCAGUUAAUGUUCACUGAAGAAUAAUUUUGAGUGACUGGGGUUUCAGAGAAGCAGCAUAAAGAUGCAAGGGACUCAAGUUCUACCAGGCAAGGUGUGGUGAUUCAGGAGGAAGUAAUGCUUUUAUUGUCUGAUCACCUCCUCCAUGGACUUGUAUUACAUGGAAAAUUCUAACUACACAGGGAGGUUGUUGCAAAGCAGUUAAUAAAUAGCACAUCAUUCAGACUAAGAGAAAAUAUUUGUAAAUGAUACAACAAACAAGGGCUUAUUUUCCAAAAUAUAUGAAUAGCUCAUUCAACUCAAAUACAAAAAAAGCACAAACAACCCAAUCAAGAAAUGGCAUAAGACCUAAAUAAACAUUCCUCCAAAGAAGACAUACAGAUGGCCAACAGACAUAGGAAAAUAUGCUAUAUAUCAUUAA
Molecule: long non-coding RNA, 1437 nt
Filed under: Capra hircus (goat)
Lineage: Eukaryota; Metazoa; Chordata; Mammalia; Artiodactyla; Bovidae
Description: lncRNA (ENSCHIG00010002432.1)
Source: RNAcentral